Long non-coding RNA from Cyprinus carpio carpio, 2262 nucleotides. The record is from Ensembl. NCBI's taxonomy places the organism in Eukaryota, Metazoa, Chordata, Actinopteri, Cypriniformes, Cyprinidae.
GAGCCAUGCAAUUGUUUAAUGAAAUUUGAGAGCAGUGGAAGUUUAAGAGUUGUAGUACACAGUAUAACAACUUAAAUGUGGAUUUAUUUUUCAUAUAAAGUUAUUGAAUGGCUUUAGAAUAGUUGGUAUGUUGUACACAAAUUGUGUGGACCAGGGUUAUUUAAUUAACUAAAACAAACAAAAAAAAUGUAUUGAUUGAUAGAUUAAUUUUGGGUGAACAAAUCCCUUUAAGGUGUCAGAUAAAUGCACAGUUUAGGCAGUUGCUUCCACUCACACUGGAAUGGUCACAUUUCAUAUCUUGGGUGGAAGGAAAUUGGUAUGUUUAGCGAUAUCAUACCUCCAUUCUAACCCUCAGUUUCCUUCUCUUUUGGCUAUAGGGGCAAUGGAAAAUGCUUGACCACCAGGGUAAGCUGGCUGUCAGAAUGGAAACUGCUUGGUGCAGCAAGUCAGUGACUCAGAAAACUUAACUAAGUUUUUUCUCCUCCUCCGCCCCAUCCCCCCUCCUUGCACCCCCCUCCAUUCUCUAUCUCUCUCCUCCUCUCUCGCUCUCACACUGCCUCCUUUUCGUCUCCCUUGAAAUUUCUUUGAGAAGAUUAUCCGCAGCUUUGGGAUUGCUGCUGCUCUUGGGAAGAGAAGAGAGAGAGAGAGAGAGCGAGGGACUAAUAUUUAUUUACCCUGCUCUCAGUCAGUACUGUCAGUACGAGAACGGAAGGACAGAGGGAGGCUCAUCAAUUAGCCCUUAUGUCUUCAGGGAUGAGCGGUGACACAGAGGAGUUGCCAUAAAUAUACAUCAAGAGAGAAUAAUGUAUGAAUGUUGAGAAUGUGUGGUACAUAUAUACACACACUCUACCAAUCAAAGGUUUGAGGUCAGUGCUUUUUUAAAAGAAAUUAAUACUUUUAUUCAGCAAUGGCACAUCAAUCUAAAGUGACAGUAAAGACAAUUUAUUAAUCAAAUAAAGCAUAAGUUUGCUCAAAAAUAUCAAUCAGCUCAAAAGUUUUCAACAAUGAUAAUACUUGUUGUGACCCUGUACCACAAAACCAGUCAUAAGGGUACAUUUUUUGAAAUUGAGAUUUAUACAUCUGAAAGUGCGAUUUGGCCACAGACACUGGAAGAGUAUCAGAAUGAGUUCUUUUAAUAACGGAGGGAAUCAAUCUGUUUUAGUGUAAUGAUUAAUUUUAGGGCAAAACUAGUUCACUAGCUAAAUAAGAGUUACACAGAGAGGGUUUUCUUAUUGGCAGUGUCUCAAUUUACUCUCUUUCUCGCUGUACUGUGAGUAGCAUCCUUUCUCUCUUUCUCUUUUCUGUCUCUCUCAGAGGAGCAUUUUCUGGGAGCGAGUUGCAUGUCUUUCACCCAUAAACGAAUGGCUACAAAGAUGCUGUCUCAGCAUGGUCUGCCCCACAGCAAAAAUCAAAAUAUCAAUAACCUCUUAUAGCAUUAAGGAAAAUGCCUAAAUCUUACGCGCUCUUUUUUUUCUCCUCUGUCUUUUUGCCAAUAUCACUCAACCACUUACACUUGGCGCGAGCCCUGCUGGAGAUUUUACGUACACAUUAGACAGUCGCUCCUCUCUCUCUUCUUUUUAUCUGUGCAGGUCCAUUUAUUGGUAGCCUAGCCUACAGGUUCAGUUGUAAACAUGCACAGAAAUCAUUCAUUUAAAAAAGAAAAAAAUAGCUGAAUAUUAAUCUCUGUAUAUACAUGAGUGAAACUUUAAAACUGAAUUUUGCAGAAAUUCUUUUUUUAAGAAUUUUAAGUUGAGAACUGCACCCAGUUAUAUAUACAAAUAAAUAUGUAUAUAUAUUGUGUCAUAUGUAUUGAUGUUCUAUCCCUCAUCCGCAUUUGAAUAGUUAAUAGUUUACCUGGAUAAGGUGAUUGUAAAGCAAACUAUACUUCCCAUAGUUGCUUCUUGCUGUUUCAGCUGAUAUUUCCUCCGCACUGGCGCCUGUCAUUUCAGAGAAUAGUGCAAUGAAGUAUUUAUAGAGCAUUUGAGGUAUUGCAUGCUAGUCAGGAUCUGUGAUUAAUGUUCAUUUGAUUUAAAAAGUGAAAUAAAAUACUUGCAUUGUACAAAUUAAAACAUGACACAUUAUUUUCAGUAAUACUUAGUAUAUAGUACAAUACAAUAAACCACAACUGUGGGUGCUUGAUUUUUUUUCACAACUUUUAAUGUUACUACAUGUUAUUACAUUGAAGUAACAUUGUUACUACAUUUUGAUUAUUAAGCCCAACAUUUCUUUUUUUUUUCCAGUGAUGAAUCUCUAGCAAUAAGA